Molecule: ribosomal RNA, 424 nt
Filed under: uncultured eukaryote
Lineage: Eukaryota
Description: partial 18S ribosomal RNA
Rfam family: Eukaryotic small subunit ribosomal RNA
Source: RNAcentral
CAAUAGCGUAUAUUAAUGUUGUUGCAGUUAAAAAGCUCGUAGUUGAAAAUUGAAUAUUAAAAUAAGUUUGGUCUACAUAAUUUUAUGUAUGACUACUUAUUUUGUAUUCUUCCUACUAGAUACUCGAUAUUGUUCUUAAUUGAAUGAUAUAGUAUUCUUUCGGGAAUACCAAUACUUGUAUUGGAGUUCUAGUUCAUUUACUUUGAGAAAAUUAGAGUGUUUAAAGCAGCCUCUUUGGGCUCUGAAUACAUUAGCAUGGGAUAAUAAAAUAGGAUUUAAUCUAUAUAUUUGUUGGUUUGAGUAGAUUAAAUAAUGAUUAAUAGGAACAGUUGGGGGUAUUUAUAUUGGAUGGUUAGCGGUGAAAUGCAUUGAUCCAUUCAAGAUAAACUAAAGCGAAAGCAUCUACCAAGGAUGUUUUCAUUAA